GAUAGAGGCCUACCAUGGUUUUAACGGGUAACGGGGAAUUAGGGUUCGAUUCCGGAGAGGGAGCCUGAGAAACGGCUACCACAUCCAAGGAAGGCAGCAGGCGCGCAAAUUACCCAAUCCCGACACGGGGAGGUAGUGACAAUAAAUAACAAUACGGGGCUCAUUUGGGUCUCGUAAUUGGAAUGAGUACAAUUUAAAUCUCUUAACGAGGAACAAUUGGAGGGCAAGUCUGGUGCCAGCAGCCGCGGUAAUUCCAGCUCCAAUAGCGUAUAUUAAAGUUGUUGCAGUUAAAAAGCUCGUAGUUGAACUUCGGGGUUUACCCAUUGGUCAGGCUUAAUUGUCUGUACUGGUGAGAUAAAUCUCUACCUUCUGAGGAACUUUCAUGUCAUUAAUUUGGUGUGAUUGGAAAUCAGGACUGUUACUUUGAAAAAAUUAGAGUGUUUAAAGCAGGCUAACGUCUGAAUACAUUAGCAUGGAAUAAUGAAAUAGGACGGAUUGAUUCUAUUUCGUUGGUUUCUAGGAUCACCGUAAUGAUUAAUAGGGAUAGUUGGGGGCAUUAGUAUUCAAUUGUCAGAGGUGAAAUUCUUGGAUUUAUUGAAGACUAACUACUGCGAAAGCAUUUGCCAAGGAUGUUUUCAUUAAUCAAGAACGAAAGUUAGGGGAUCGAAGACGAUCAGAUACCGUCGUAGUCUUAACCAUAAACUAUGCCGACUAGGGAUCGGACGAAGUAAU
This 732-nucleotide ribosomal RNA is filed under the name uncultured fungus. RNAcentral's name for it is "SSU rRNA". It matches the Rfam family "Eukaryotic small subunit ribosomal RNA", at positions 332 to 1066 of the family's 1831-position model. The record is from RNAcentral. Lineage: Eukaryota; Fungi.